UACGGAGGGUGCAAGCGUUAUCCGGAUUCACUGGGUUUAAAGGGUGCGUAGGCGGGUAAGUAAGUCCGUAGUGAAAUCUCUGAGCUUAACUCAGAAACUGCCGUGGAUACUAUUUGCCUUGAAUAUUGUGGAGGUGAGCGGAAUAUGUCAUGUAGCGGUGAAAUGCUUAGAUAUGACAUAGAACACCAAUUGCGAAGGCAGCUCACUACACAAUCAUUGACGCUGAGGCACGAAAGCGUGGGGAUCAAACAGG
Molecule: ribosomal RNA, 253 nt
Filed under: uncultured bacterium
Lineage: Bacteria
Description: partial 16S ribosomal RNA
Rfam family: Bacterial small subunit ribosomal RNA
Source: RNAcentral